AGGACGAACGCUGGCGGCGUGCUUAACACAUGCAAGUCGAGCGGAAAGGCCCUUCGGGGUACUCGAGCGGCGAACGGGUGAGUAACACGUGAGUAAUCUGCCCCUAGCUCUGGGAUAGCUCCGGGAAAACCGGGAUUAAUACCAGAUACGACCACUUUAGACAUCUGUUGUGGUGGAAAGAAUUUCGGCUAGGGAUGAGCUCGCGGCCUAUCAGCUUGUUGGUGAGGUAACGGCUCACCAAGGCGACGACGGGUAGCCGGCCUGAGAGGGCGACCGGCCACACUGGGACUGAGACACGGCCCAGACUCCUACGGGAGGCAGCAGUGGGGAAUAUUGCGCAAUGGGCGAAAGCCUGACGCAGCGACGCCGCGUGGGGGAUGAAGGCCUUCGGGUUGUAAACCCUUUCAGCAGGGACGAAGCGAAAGUGACGGUACCUGCAGAAGAAGCGCCGGCUAACUACGCGCCAGCAGCCGC
This 474-nucleotide ribosomal RNA is filed under the name uncultured bacterium. RNAcentral's name for it is "SSU rRNA". It matches the Rfam family "Bacterial small subunit ribosomal RNA", at positions 26 to 518 of the family's 1533-position model. The record is from RNAcentral.